RNAcentral lists this unclassified non-coding RNA (2279 nucleotides) under Hevea brasiliensis (rubber tree). The record is from RNAcentral. Lineage: Eukaryota; Viridiplantae; Streptophyta; Magnoliopsida; Malpighiales; Euphorbiaceae.
AUCUUAAAUUUCCUGGAGGAGGUAAGAAAUGAAUUGGGCUGCCCUAUAAUCUACCAGCAGGACCUACGGGUACUAAGAACAGAGAAACAAUCAAAAAGGGAGAUGCAUUUCUUUCCUGAGAAUUUAGAUCCAUGUUGCAUUAUGACUCCCAAUUUUUUCUCCAUUGAUGAUAUUAUGAAGUGCGAAGAAGCAUGCAAAGAGGGUUAUACAAUUGCCAUAAGAGGCAUGGAGUUUCGCUUUGCAAGAAUUGCAGCUGUGGCAGACACCUUAGCAUCUUUGUUUGGUCAACCAUCAGUAGGUGCAAAUAUGUAUGUGACACCACCUAAUUCUCAGGGAUUGGCUUGUCACUGUGAUGACCACUGUGUGUUUGUGUGCCAACUCUUUGGAAAUAAGCAAUGGACAGUUUUUUCUCAACCAAAUUAUCAGCUGCCUCGCUUGUAUGAUCCUCUUGAUAGUCAACAGUAUUUGGAUGGUGAGAAUUCAUUCUCUGGUUGCAGAAAGUUCUUUCUAAGGGAAGGUGAUGUUUUGUAUGUUCCAAGGGGCUUUGCUCAUGAGGCAUGUACAGAUGAUUCUGUUUCUGGUGAACUUGCAAGAUUUUCCGUACACAUCACAUUUGGAAUUGAGGUGGAACCUCGUUUUGAGUGGGCAGGAUUUGCACAUGUUGCACUUCAACGUUGGAACCAGAACAAAAAAAAGCCUGAUCCUGCUUCGGUUGAGCCAUCGUCUGGACUUUUUAAUGUGAUUACUGUGAAUCUGUUGCAUGCUAUGAUUGAGUUAAUUGGUGCUUCUGAUCCUACCUUCAGGAAGGCUUGCCUGGUUGGUGCACUGUCUUUGCCAUUGGACAGGAGGGAUUGGCUUUAUUGUAACCAGAAAACCAUAUUCAACUAUCUGAUCAAUAAAAUUAACCUGGAAUCGUGGUUCUUGGAAGCCCUCAGGAUGGUGGAAGUAGCAAUUGAAAAGAAAGAUCUUUUUCAGGGGAUGAGGUGGCUUCAUCUUCUUAAUAAUGACAGAGAAACCAUCCAAGGACAUGGUUGGAAUACACCUUUAAUGGAAAUUGAAAAUCUGUUUCCAGCAUACAUUCAGCACCAAGACCUGGCAGAAGCUGCAUUCAUGCAAAUUAAAACCAAGUUCUGUGAUGAGGUAUCAUUUGAGGAUGUGGUCGAUAGCUAUAAAAUGCUAUUUGAGAAGUAUAAGAAGGCAAGAAAGCAAUAUGUGAAUGGAAUGCUUUCACUUCAUUGUAAUUAAUUUUGUUCCCUUAGGUCAUUAUGCUAUAGUUUUCCAAGUUUAGUCUUAUAUGGACAAACAGAUGUUGUUCUGCACAUUGAAUAUGUUUCUAUUUCUCAUGUGAAGCAGCUUAGAUAGAAGAAGCCAGCAUCCUUCUUGGUUUGUGCAUUUGUUGAGCCUUACAUCACAGGCACAUGAUGUACUAACCCUUUGAUAAUGAAACAUAAAUAAAUCAGUUUUGAAUUCUCUCUUUUCUUCUCUAGUUGUUGGUGCAUACGGGUAAAAACCCUACUAGAGAAAACAACAGAAGCAAUGCAAAGGGAAAUGUCUUCAUCCUUGUUAUCAUCAUUUUGAUAGUACACUGUAAACUGAUUUAUUAGAAUUGAAAAACAUGUGUGUUUCAUUCCUUCCAUCUGAAUCUUGGGGGAAAAAAGGCAUUCUAUGGUCUGGGAUGUUUUGGGGUGGGAAUUGGAUGAGUUGUCACACCAUGGUAGUCAAUGUGGUAAACAAGAUCUAAAUCAUUGUUGCUGAGAUGCUGAUGUUCUCUGGCAUGUUCAUGGAUUGUCAUCUGCUUUGCGUCUUCAUCAAGAACCUGCAGUUCACACAUCCAUGCUCAGUAAACUAAAUUGUCCUGAAUUCAUGGCCCUACUAAACUUGAGUGCAUAAUAUUUGGUUAGAGAUGGUGCUUUUAUCCCUCCAGGGGAAGGCACUUUAAUGACGAAAGUUGCACUUGUCAGUGGAGAAUUUAGAGGAUGGUAGGGUUGAGUCUCAAGCGAAUUCCUUUUGACAGAUUCAGAUAAAGAAUUUCUUAGUAAGCAAAAAGAGAUUCAUUCAAACCUCUAGGAAUAUACCUUGUUUUUCUCUUGUCCAUUUAUGUGGAGUGGUAACAUUCUCUGUUCUUUCAUUGAUCUCCUUCCUGUAAGAAAGAUCACAGAAGGAGAAGAAACGGAGAUGUUACAGGAAAAAAAAUACAUAGCAGCUGUAAGGAGAUAGAAGAAAACAAGAAGUGAAAAUUUCAUUGCAACUGUGGCUGAAUCAAGGAUUAGAGUAUCCCU